AGCUCCAAUAGCGUAUAUUAAAGUUGUUGCAGUUAAAAAGCUCGUAGUUGGAUUUCUGGUACGGCGUACCUGGUCCGCCCCUUUUACGGUGUGUGUGUACCGGAGUGCGCCUGCCAUCCUCCCGGGGAGCGUUGCGCCUACCCUUCACUGGGCCGGGCCCGCGACCCGGGUCGUUUACUUUGAAAAAAUUAGAGUGUUCAAAGCAGGCUUACGGCUGUGAAUACAUUAGCAUGGAAUAAUAAGAUAGGACUCUGGUUCUAUUUUGUUGGUUUCUAGGACGAGAGUAAUGAUUGAUAGGGACAGUUGGGGGUGCUCGUAUUGAACGGCCAGAGGUGAAAUUCUUGGAUUCGUUCAAGACGAACUACUGCGAAAGCAUUCACCAAGGAUGUCUUCUUUAAUC
RNAcentral lists this ribosomal RNA (400 nucleotides) under phytoplankton environmental sample. Its description in RNAcentral is "partial small subunit ribosomal RNA". It matches the Rfam family "Eukaryotic small subunit ribosomal RNA", at positions 587 to 978 of the family's 1831-position model. The record is from RNAcentral.